UACGUAGGGGGCAAGCGUUGUCCGGAAUCACUGGGCGUAAAGCGCGCGCAGGCGGUCAUCUACGUCUGGGGUGAAAGCCCGGAGCUCAACUCCGGGAUUGCCUUGGAUACGGGAUGACUUGAGGAUCGGAGAGGCAAGGGGAAUUCCACGUGUAGCGGUGAAAUGCGUAGAGAUGUGGAGGAACACCUGUGGCGAAGGCGCCUUGCUGGCCGAUUUCUGACGCUGAGGCGCGAAAGCGUGGGGAGCAAACAGGA
RNAcentral lists this ribosomal RNA (254 nucleotides) under uncultured bacterium. Its description in RNAcentral is "partial 16S ribosomal RNA". It matches the Rfam family "Bacterial small subunit ribosomal RNA", at positions 524 to 777 of the family's 1533-position model. The record is from RNAcentral.